This is a non-coding RNA of Podarcis lilfordi (Lilford's wall lizard), 96 nucleotides long. Lineage: Eukaryota; Metazoa; Chordata; Lepidosauria; Squamata; Lacertidae. The record is from the annotation of a GenBank genome assembly.
AUAUAUAUAUACACACACACACUUACAUGAAUAUAUAUAUACACACACACACGGAUUUAUAUAUAUAUAUAUAUGUGUGUGUGUGUGUGUGUGUAU